Phyllostomus discolor (pale spear-nosed bat) is the source of this 163-nucleotide long non-coding RNA. RefSeq lists it as uncharacterized. Lineage: Eukaryota; Metazoa; Chordata; Mammalia; Chiroptera; Phyllostomidae. The record is from RefSeq and is a predicted model, not a curated record. The transcript is spliced from 3 exons.
GUCUGGCACACUUGACAUCAUCAACAGAUAUUAGCUGUGACUGUCACUGUUCCCCAGUACAGCAGUAGAAGCACGGAUCCUAACUUGGAGAUGACAGAAGGGAGAACUGGAUGAUGAGUAAGACACAAUUCAAAAGGCUCCUACAGAAAUUCCACAGCUCAAG